RNAcentral lists this long non-coding RNA (1013 nucleotides) under Ursus maritimus (polar bear). Its description in RNAcentral is "lncRNA (ENSUMAG00000009797.1)". Lineage: Eukaryota; Metazoa; Chordata; Mammalia; Carnivora; Ursidae. The record is from RNAcentral.
UUCUGGGCUAGUAUUGUCUUAGACUCUCCUGGCAUGCUGUAGUCACGUGGCCCCUUGCAUUGCGAAGAUUGUAAACGUGGAUCCGUGAAAUGUUGCUUUGCCUUUUACUUUGCCAUCUGGAUUUCAUUCUCUCAGUUCCCACACCUGAGUUCAGGGUCCUAAGUGAUGCAUCAAGAGCCAACCCCCCCUUUUCAGAUCUCAUUCUUCACUCGGCACUGCAAGAUUAACGUCACAUCUACACUGUAGCAGCUUGUAAGGUGUUUCCAACUUGCUGAGUUAGAUGAUGAAAAAGAAAAAAGGUCUGGUGCUGUUCUAGAUCAUACAAUGGGAAGUCAUCACAGCAACCAGAAAUUUCUCAAAUAUAGAAGGGUCAGUAAGGUUACCUUUCCCAGGAGUCCGAGCCCUUUUGGGACCAUCUUUUGUGUGCUACAGUUUAGGACAAGCGACCGAAGAUCCCCUGCUGUGGAGAAUUACGAACUCCGGCACUUGAGUGUGAUGGAGAUGAGGUGCCCCCGCGCACGAGGCCACUCUGACAUGAAGACUGAAGAUUGCUUCUAACUGAAGAUAAUUGAGAAAGAGCAAACUGCAGAAAAAGCUCUUUACCCUCCCGCUUUUUCUUAAAAGCAGUGCAUAAAUUCUUCUUUGUGAUGGCAUCCCCACCCCUCUCCCCUACCAAGAAGAUCAGAAUGACUUUUAAUCACUGGGGAUGACUCCUGCCUGCCCAGAGAGGCACUAAGAGGAAUCGCGUGACAAACUUUACUAAAAUAACCCGUAUCUUCCAACAGUUUUCCCAUAUAUUUACCUUCCCAUACUUUACUGUCCCUUAAAGCUCAAAACCUCUUUUGCCUUGUCACUUCUCCAGAAAGUUAUAGCCCUUUGUUCAAAUGGUAUAUAAAUCUCCAGGUCUGACUACCUCUUUGGGGUUUUCAUUUUAUUUCUGUGAGCCACCCCCCCCCCAGCCCCGCCCCGCCAGCAUCUGAAAUAAACUUCUUCUGUGAGUCUGUCUUUUGUCA